This 89-nucleotide unclassified non-coding RNA is filed under the name Pseudomonas migulae. Lineage: Bacteria; Pseudomonadati; Pseudomonadota; Gammaproteobacteria; Pseudomonadales; Pseudomonadaceae. The record is from RNAcentral.
UGUAGGAGCCGGCUUGCUGGCGACAGCGAUGUAUCAGUCACGUCAAUGUCGAUUGAUACGCCGCUAUCGCCAGCAAGCCGGCUCCUACA